CUUAGGGCAAUCUGCCCUUGAGAGGGAAACAACCGGCCGAAAGGCUGGCUAAUGUCCCAUAAGACCACGGGAUGGCAUCAUCCAGGGGUCAAAGCUCCGCAAGGGGCGCUUGAGGAGGAGCCCGAGUCCUAUCAUGGUAGUUGGUGAGGUAACGGCUCACCAAGCCUUUGACGGGUAGCCGGCCUGAAAGGGUGAUCGGCCACACUGGCACUGAGACACGGGCCAG
RNAcentral lists this ribosomal RNA (226 nucleotides) under uncultured bacterium. Its description in RNAcentral is "partial 16S ribosomal RNA". It matches the Rfam family "Bacterial small subunit ribosomal RNA", at positions 116 to 334 of the family's 1533-position model. The record is from RNAcentral.